UACGUAGGGUGCGAGCGUUGUCCGGAAUUAUUGGGCGUAAAGAGCUCGUAGGUGGCGGGUCACGUCGGGUGUGAAAGCCCGGGGCUUAACUCCGGGUCUGCAUUCGAUACGGGUCUGCUGGGGUCCGGCAGGGGAGACUGGAAUUCCUGGUGUAGCGGUGAAAUGCGCAGAUAUCAGGAGGAACACCGGUGGCGAAGGCGGGUCUCUGGGCCGAUAUUGACGCUGAGGAGCGAAAGCGUGGGGAGCGAACAGG
RNAcentral lists this ribosomal RNA (253 nucleotides) under uncultured bacterium. RNAcentral describes it as "partial 16S ribosomal RNA". It matches the Rfam family "Bacterial small subunit ribosomal RNA", at positions 524 to 776 of the family's 1533-position model. The record is from RNAcentral.